UACGUAGGGUGCGAGCGUUAAUCGGAAUUACUGGGCGUAAAGCGUGCGUAGGCGGUCCCGCAAGUCCGCUGUGAAAGCCCCGAGCUUAACUUGGGAACUGCAGUGGAAACUAUGGGGCUUGAAUCCGGCAGAGGGGGGUGGAAUGCCACGUGUAGCAGUGAAAUGCGUAGAGAUGUGGCGGAACACCGAUGGCGAAGGCAGCUCGCUGGGACGUUACUGACGCUGAGACGCGAAAGCGUGGGGAGCAAACAGG
This 253-nucleotide ribosomal RNA is filed under the name uncultured bacterium. RNAcentral describes it as "partial 16S ribosomal RNA". It matches the Rfam family "Bacterial small subunit ribosomal RNA", at positions 524 to 776 of the family's 1533-position model. The record is from RNAcentral.